This 472-nucleotide long non-coding RNA is filed under the name Homo sapiens (human). RNAcentral describes it as "non-protein coding lnc-C10orf143-11:6". Lineage: Eukaryota; Metazoa; Chordata; Mammalia; Primates; Hominidae. The record is from RNAcentral.
AUGGUCAAUCCCACCAUGUUCUUCAACAUGGCCGUCAAUGGCAAGCCCUGGGGCCAUCAAACAGCCCUUCGAGCUGUUUGCAGACAAGAUUCCAAAGACAGCAGAACACUUGCAUGCUCUGAGCACUGGAGGGAAAGGAUUUUGUCAUGAGGGUUCCUGCUUUCACAGAAUUAUUCCAGGGCUUAUGUGUUAGGGUGGUGGCUUCACACGCCGUAAUGGCGCUGGUGGCAAGUCCAUCUACAGGGAGAAAUUUGAUGAUGAAAACUGUAGCCUGAAGCAUACAGGUCCCGGCAUGUUGUCCAAGGCAAAUGCUGGACCAACACGUACGGUUCCCAGUUUGGCAUCUGCACUGCCAAGACUCAGUGGUUGCAUGGCGAGCAUGUGGUCUUUGGCAAGAUGAAAGAAGGCAUGAGGGUCCAGAAAUGGCAAGACCAGCAAGAAGGUCACCAUUGCUGACUGUGGACAACUCUAA